RNAcentral lists this ribosomal RNA (1422 nucleotides) under Triticum aestivum (bread wheat). Its description in RNAcentral is "partial small subunit ribosomal RNA". The record is from RNAcentral. Lineage: Eukaryota; Viridiplantae; Streptophyta; Magnoliopsida; Poales; Poaceae.
AUGGCCGGCGGCGCGGCGGACGGGCGACAGAUCCGCGUGGAUUCGGCCGUCCUCGAGCACCAGCCCGAGUCCCCUCCUCGUCCGCUGCCGCGGCCGCAUGGCGCCCGGGAAGUUUCCUCGCCGCCGCUCCCAGAGGAGCUCCUGUUGGACAUCUUCCGCCGCAUUCCCGACCCGGCCGACCUCGUCCUCACCUCCGCCGCCUGCGUCACAUUCCGCCGCCUCAUCACCGACCGCUCCUUCCUCCGGCAGUACCGCAAGCUCCACGCCCCGCCCCUCCUCGGCUUCCUCCAGUACGGAGACAAUGUCUUCCACCCUGCGGUCCCGCCUCACCCCUCCGCGCCGGCAGCUCGGGUCGUCGCCCUCGCCGGCGACUUCUCCUUCUCAUUCGUCCCCGCCCCUGACCCCGCUCACCGCUGGGUCGUCCGGGACAGCCGAGACGGCCGCGUCCUUCUUGAAGCAAGCCCCCGGGAAGGUUAUAGUGCCCGUGGAGUCGUCUUCACAGAGUUGGCGGUGUGCGACCCGUUGCACCGGCAGUAUCUCCUGCUUCCCCCAAUCCCCGGUGACCUAGCAGCUGCCGUGGAGGACCCGCUCAUGCGAAUACGGCCGCAUUUCAGCGAGACAUUCCUCGCUCCGCAAGGCGACGGCAAUGAGGCAUCAACUGCUGAAGAGACGUCAUUCAGAGUGAUCUGGAUGGUCCAGUGCGAAGCUAGGGUCGUGGGCUUUGUCUUCUCUUCCAGCACCAGGCAAUGGCGAGCCAUUCCAUCCCAGAGUUGGGCCAAUUUGUUAGCUGGCUUCGUGUCAUCGACUGGGUUGGCACUCUUCUACGGGCGCCAAUGUACGUGUGACUACUUUUACUGGCUGCCAAACUGUCAGUACGAUUUGAAAAUGUUGGUGCUCGACACCCUGAGGAUGGAGUUCUCCGUUGAUGAACCCCCAACUGAAGCCAAAAAUGCGUUAUUUCUUGGUAUAACCAUGAUGGAGACAGGAGAAGGCCGUCCUAGAAUGCUUGCUGGUACCUAUGACAUGACUUGCGGCAAUCAUACCCUUUGGAGGAAAAAUGGUGGGAGCACCAGCCAGUGGCAGAAGGAGAAGAUGGUCUCACUCUCACCGGGCCCUCGGGAUGUGCUGAGAUGUUCAAUUGGGAAUUAUUUGGUCCUGGAUCACUUUGGAAGCUCGUCGCUUGAGAAAGGCUUAUACACAGUGGACAUCGAAACAUUACAGCUUAAGAGAGUGUGUGCUUCAGUGCUUGGCAGCACAUAUUGCAACUACCCACCAUCGUUGUCGGUACCGAAAGUAUCAAGUGGUAUUGAGGAGGAAGUGCUGGAACAAGGCGUGGAGGCCCUACGAGCUAAAGGGUCCGUAGAUGGCCAUCAAAAUGGAGGUCAAGCUGAUGUGUUGGGGGUUGGAGAUGGUGCCGAUUAA